Onthophagus taurus is the source of this 541-nucleotide non-coding RNA. The record is from RefSeq and is a predicted model, not a curated record. NCBI's taxonomy places the organism in Eukaryota, Metazoa, Arthropoda, Insecta, Coleoptera, Scarabaeidae.
GACAGGUGAAAAAGCUAACCUCAAUUUCUUAUAAAUGUAAACAGGAAAUAUUGAAAAUACAUUUUAAAAUUUAAUUAUUAAUAAGCAAAAUUUUACUAAUGCGACAAUUCCUACAUUACAGAAAUGUUGUUUAGAUAUUCGAAGAAUAAGUUUCACUAGAACAAAUAUUAUUUUGUGGUAGGCAAAUUAAGAUUAUAUCCUAAGAACUGGUUUCCAUUUAGUUAGCAAUUUGAGUUAGCAAAAUUAAGAAAGCACUUACCGUACCCUGGGGUGAAGAAGAACAAAAUUUCAGAUUUUUUAAGAAUAACAUUUUUAGCUUUUGAAUUAAAAUUCUGAAAGGAAUAAUUUAGAUUUACUGGUCCUUCUUUUAUAGAUAUACAAUCUACAAAUUUAUUAAAAUGCUAAAACAACAGUUUUUUUUUCGUCAAGUGUGAUAGGCUUCACCUCAACUUUUGUAGUAAAGUGGAUCAACAAUAGUUUUUAGUAAAAAACGACUCUAAACUUAUAAAAGGGUGAAGUAGAUGAAUAAAUAAGUUUUUUA